Molecule: long non-coding RNA, 1086 nt
Filed under: Trifolium pratense (red clover)
Lineage: Eukaryota; Viridiplantae; Streptophyta; Magnoliopsida; Fabales; Fabaceae
Description: long non-coding RNA (TPRA_LNC007428)
Source: RNAcentral
ACGAUGAAUUAACUAAAUAGUUCAGACCAGUGUUAAUGACUAAGAACCCUUUUCCAUAAAAAUAACUUCCUAAUGUCUUAGGUCAAUUCAAAUUCAUAGAAAGAUUUAUGCUCGUUAAUUCUCCUUAUCAUAGUACAAUAAUCCGAUAUCUCUAAAACGACUAUUGACCAAACAAUUAUUUCAGAUUCGGGUUUCAAAAGUUAUGGUUAGUAAUCAUUCGAUUCCUAAAUUCAAUUCAUAAAUUCGUCAAUUCAUAAAAAGCAUUACGCGCAGAAAUAACUGAAUAACAAUAAUACUAAAAAGGUCCCAAGGAUCUCAACAAUUUACAUGGUUCAAAUCAAUUCAAGGAAGAUCAUCUAUCAAUUCUAACCAACAGAGACUUAGUUACUCAUAACUAAAUUAAUAAGCAACAUGAGUAAAGAAGAAAAGAAAUAAACCAGGAGGCUAUGUGUUGUACCACUGCCGUCAAUCACUUCCGCCCCUUUUCCUCAAGUCUGCGUUUUUUCAAUGUAUCAGCCUCUCCCUAGGUUAAGAGCUAAGAUCCUAUUUAUAUGCUUUUUGAAGAGAAAAUCACGUGCCACUAAGAACAUGUCAAGCAGCCCUAUACCAUGUUGACACGUCAUUAUUCAAGGAAGAACAUAAAGUUGAUGNNNNNACCAUGAAAUUACUAUUAAAAACUAACUAAACUACUAUAAAAUUGCAAUUAAAAUUAACAAAUAACUGACUGUCAUCACAACCCCAAACUUGAACUGUUACUUGUCCUCAAGUGACAUGCCUGUCAAAAUAAAAUCGUCAGAGAAUUAACAAAUUAAUUUGAAUGAUAAAAAUCUCAUAAACCUUAUUCUCUUCAUCCGGUAAUAGAACCACCGGUCUUAACUUCAGUGAUUCUGCUCGAUCAACACUCUGGCUUCUAAGACUUCAAUCAGAUUCAGUCCAAUGACCGUUCCACACGAUGUUCAAGGUUCAACCUUAUCUCUCACUCACCAUUUCACUCAAACUCAAUUUGACAGGGUAUUCACUCCAUCAACAUGCAAAUGCUAUUUUACCAUAAGCUUGAAAAAAUUCUAAACGUCAAUCAAAGUAAAU